Molecule: long non-coding RNA, 3473 nt
Organism: Vombatus ursinus (common wombat)
Lineage: Eukaryota; Metazoa; Chordata; Mammalia; Diprotodontia; Vombatidae
Source: Ensembl
CAGCUAAGCCGUCUCGGUCUCUGUUUCUUUCUCUGUUCCUGUCUCUGUCUCUGUCUCUGCCUUUCCGUUUCUUGUCUCUGCCGUUUCUCUUCACGUCUCUGUCUCUAUCUCUGUUUCUUCCCCUGUCUCUGCCUUUCUGCUCCUGUCAGCCCAUUUCUGGGCUUUGCGCUGCCUCUGUCUCUAUCUCUGCUCUGACUCUGGCUCUAACAGUCCCUAUCUCUGGCCAAGCCAUCUCCAGGACUGAAGAACUUUUGUUUCUCUUUUUCUUCCCAUUUUUGCCUGGGUCAGUCUCUGACCCUGGGUUUCUUUCUCAGCCUCUUUCUAUGUUUUUCUCUCUGUCUCCCUCUCUGCCUCACUGGAUCUAUACUGCCCACCUUGUUCUUAUUUGGGGUUAGAUGAUCAGACUCCCAGAGAUGGGAUUCUCUCCAUAAAAAUCUGUCAUUGAUCAGCAGGUCCAACUGCUCACCCUUCUAAAUGAUGCUUGAACACCUGCACUGAUGGGGAGCUCACUCACCACCAAAGUAGCUUGUUCACUUGGAGGUACCCCUACAGGCUAGGCUCCAUUGUGAGGGGCCCUUGGGAAUAGAGCAGGAGGCCUCAGAGUGUGACACUGAGUAAGCUGGCACUGUGAGAGGCAGGGAGGGCCACCACGCAGUCAGAGACUUGAGGAAGGUAUGGGACCGGCCAGCCAGUCAGGGCCCUUGGGCCCCAGGUACGUUCGUGCUGGGACUGGGACCAAGGAGGUGCGUAGUGAUUUCUGAAGCGCAGAGCCGGCCAGGGAGGGGAAAGCUGCCCCCAAACCCGCCCCCUCCUUCCUGGGGUCCCAGAGAGCUCGCCUUCAAAAGCCUCCUGGCCAGCUGGGUAGCAGCAGCUGCAGGCCAGCAGUCAAGGAUGAUGGGGCGAGGAUCUGGAGGGUCCAGUGUGCAAUGUCCUCCCCUGUGUUUUGAUGAACUCAUCAGGAAAUGCUUACCAUGCAAUUUGUACCAGACCCCCACGGCUACUGGAGCUGACAACAUCUCCAGCUCCUCAGAGACAGUCACACUGAUGACCCAAGUGUCCAAUACGUCAAUGACUUCAAUCCUCAGGAUGUUUCCAGGCCCAUACUUCCUCCUUGGGAUCCCCAUAGGGCUGGCGCUGGUGCUGGCCAUGCUGUAUGGCCUACUGGUGUGCCUGCUGCAGAGACGGCUGGAGAGGGCCCCUGCUGACGAAGAGGCUUGCCCCAGUAGGGAGCUAGCCCUGGGGCUCGACCCCCCCCCCCACCAAGAACCUAAAGCUGUGCAGACCCAGAACAGCAGCUUGGGUGAAGCCCAGGACCAGCAUCCCUUUCAGGAGUGUGAUGGUGCUCCUGAGCCCAGCUCAGCGCCCGGCCACAGCUUCCCGGUGCCCGCCACGGAGCUGGGGGCCAUGGAGCUUGUCACCACCAAGACCACCACCACAGAGCUGUAGUGAAAGAACCCGGCUAGGAAAGGGCUGGCUCCAGCCCCUCCACCUGCUCCACCGGGGCUUGGGAACCCCCUCUUCCUUUCCUUCCAAAGGACUAAGAGCACCCUUCCCCGGGGGGUCUGUGGACCUCCUGCCUCCCAGGUCUACUUCCAGAGAUGGCGUCUCUGUAGGCUCCCACAGAGAUGGCACAGUGUAAUGGGCCUUCAAGCUCUGGGUUCAAAUGUUGCUACUCAAUAGUUGUAGAAUGUUGGCCUUCUCUUUUCCUCCUUAGUUUCCCCCUAGGUAAAAUGAAGGGAGUGUGUGUGCCUAGAUCCUUGUAAAGUUCCUCCCAGUUCCAAGUGGAUGAUCCUUCCUGGGCUGUCUUCCAAGCCCUUCUCCCUGACAACCCUGCCCUAAGCCCUGGCAGUCAGCCAGCCCUGCCGCAAAAAUGCUUUCAAGGGAGGUCUGGGUGCUCCGAAGAUUUCCUCUAUGCCCAAGGAAGGGGACCCAAGGACAAUGGUCAGGGCACCCCCACUUAGGGCCCUUUGACUCUGACCUUUCACCCCACUUUCCUGAUUUACCUUCAUGUUCUAUCUCUGCUGCUCACCUUGGCCCUUUGACCUGGGGAACAGUGGGGUGCAAUGGAAAGGGGGCCUAUUUCUGAGUCUGAAUCCUGGCUCUGCCACUGGUGACCUGGGUGAUCUCUCAUUGCCUCAGUUCCCUCCUUUGUAAAAUGAGCUCUAGGAUUAUGAUCUUUGCUCCCUCUAGUCCGUUCUAUACUUGUUACAUAACAGGGAAUUUGAGUCCCAUGAAUGCCUCGAACUCCCCACAUGACCUUUGGAAAAUUCCCUUCUCUCUCCCUUCAGCUCCCUUCACUGUGACCUUGGUGAUCCCCAAGGUCCAUUUCCAGCUCAAAAUCCUGCAAUGCUAGAAAGUCUUCCCUUCAUUCAUUUCCUGAGGCAAGAUGGCCCCAGGCAGCCCCCAGCCAAAGACAAGUCUGGGAAGCAAUUGUGGUCACCUUGGAAUUGUAAGGAAGCAACAGUUGAGGUCUGUUUCAGGAAGUUCAGCUGGGUUCACCCAUGGUUCCAAUUGUUCUCAGGGAGAGAAAAAAAUGUCAGCCCACUUUUACAAAGUAGCCGAGCGAGUGAGAUGCUUGCGACAAGGUAAUAAGCUAUUUGAGGUUGGUUUCCAAGCGCAGGGAGUUAGGCAGGAAAAGUGGGUCAGGUCCCCAACAAAACCCCUUAACUUGCUUGGAAGCCAGGGAUUCAUGGCUCUGUAGUCUGACACAGAUCUCCCAGAAUCCUUCUCUCAAAAGGACUGUUAUGCAAAGAGUCUCCAAUUAGGGGGGAGUCUCUCUCCUCUCUUUGUCUCUGUCUCUGUCUCUCUGUGUACCUUUCUCUAUUUGUCUCUGUCUGUCUCUCCUCUCUACUUGCAUACAUAUAUACAUGCAUAUUAUAGCUAGAAGAGGCAAACCAAGAAUUUACUAAGAUUCUCAAGGAAGCUAAUCAAUAGCUUUUCUCUAAUAAGUCACAGAUAAAUAGGUAAGAGCUUUUGGCAGCAAAGAUGUCCCGAAGCCCUGGGAUGGGGUGAGGUGGGAUGAGAGUAGAGACUUCUGCACUCCCGUAAUUGAGAAAGAGACGGGCUUCUCCUUUAAACGAAACAAGGAAAAUGAGUGGAUUAAGCCAAAAUCCAUCAGGAUUGAAAGUGCUUAAUUGGUACCUAGCUGUUUGUAUUCCUUUAUAUUUUAUACCUAUCCCGAAUGGUCUCUUCAGGUAGAUGCCAGAUGAACUCCUUCAGCUCCAUCACAGGCAGGUCUAGCAGACGGCGGUGGCCACAACCAGCUCUGGCUUCUGUGAUUCUAUGAUAUCAUACCCUUGCCUACCAAACAGGAAUGUUGAGGAGGGAAAUGCGUAAAUCUUGAAGUGAUGUGUAAAGGGUUCACAGUGUGAAAUGCGAUUCUUUUUAAAUAUGUGCAAUGAGAGUUAUUUGUAGCCAGUUCGCCAUUAGAGUUUGAGACUUCAAUAAAGAGUUUGUUUUUAUUGAAAAAUGCA